Molecule: ribosomal RNA, 253 nt
Filed under: uncultured bacterium
Lineage: Bacteria
Description: partial 16S ribosomal RNA
Rfam family: Bacterial small subunit ribosomal RNA
Source: RNAcentral
UACGUAGGGUGCAAGCGUUGUCCGGAAUUAUUGGGCGUAAAGAGCUUGUAGGCGGUUUGUCGCGUCUGCUGUGAAAUUUCGGGGCUCAACCCCGAACUUGCAGUGGGUACGGGCAGACUAGAGUGUGGUAGGGGAGACUGGAAUUCCUGGUGUAGCGGUGAAAUGCGCAGAUAUCGGGAGGAACACCGGUGGCGAAGGCGGUUCUCUGGGCCUUACCUGACGCUGAGGAGCGAAAGCGUGGGGAGCAAACAGG